This 494-nucleotide ribosomal RNA is filed under the name uncultured bacterium. RNAcentral's name for it is "partial 16S ribosomal RNA". It matches the Rfam family "Bacterial small subunit ribosomal RNA", at positions 28 to 507 of the family's 1533-position model. The record is from RNAcentral.
GACGAACGCUGGCGGCGCGCUUAACACAUGCAAGUCGAACGGAAAGGCCUGCUUUCCCUUGUGGAUUGCGGGUACUCGAGUGGCGAACGGGUGAGUAACACGUGAGUGAUCUGCCCCCAACUUGGGUAUAAGCCUGGGAAACUGGGUCUAAUUCCCGAUAGGGCUGCAGGGUGGUGCCUGUGGUGGAAAACGAUUUUCUAGUGGUUGGGGAUGAGCUCGCGGCCUAUCAGCUUGUUGGUGGGGUAAUGGCCUACCAAGGCGGCGACGGGUAGCCGGCCUGGGAGGGUGGACGGCCACAUUGGGAAUGAGAUACGGCCCAGACUCCUACGGGAGGCAGCAGUGGGGAAGAUUGCACAAUGGGCGGAAGCCUGAUGCAGCGACGCCGCGUGGGGGAUGACGGCCUUCGGGUUGUAAACUCCUUUCGACCGCGAGGAAGCCACCUGGUUGGAAGGGUGGUGACGGUAGUGGUAGAAGAAGCACCGGCUAACUACGUG